UUCGUAGAAAGAAAAUUAGUCAGAGAUAGGGGGUCUGCAACGGCUACGUAUGAGUCGAUUUUUAAUAAUCGGAGUUUGAUUUAUGGCAAAUCGGAGACGGUGGAGGUGCUGUUUAUGCCUCAUCCGACGGUGACGGCGUCGUCGCGGGCGAUCGGGACUCCGGAUGUGGCUGUGAUCGGGGAUGGUGAUGUGGCGGCGGCGGCGGCGGUGUCGGUGCAGGGUAAGCGGUUAGUGAUGCAGAAGAAGGCGGUGGUUGCUUCGGUGGUGGCGGAGGAUUAUGCUAGGAGUUUUGGGUCUGGUGAUGUUGAUGUGGUAGUGCAAAUAUUUUCUUGAUAUACAGAGCACUGAAGAAUCCUUUUUAUCAUGUUAUGUGUUGGGUAAUGGAAAAUCAUUGGAGAGAGUGGUCUCAUUAAACGCCCUACAACUGGGAAAUUAAUAUCUCUAGAUGGAGUUCUUGUGUAUUAAACUCCAAGAACAUGACUGAUGCUGGCCAUUAAAUCUGAUUGAUGACGGUAAUAGUGUAGACCAUGGUGUUGACAAACAAAGACGGGCCAAGUCAUCUUAUGAUCUACCAGGGUCAAUGCCUAACCAUGACAGGCCCAUAGCUAGAAAAAAAAUCGUAAGAAUUGCACCUGGUGACCGCAGUUGGGCUGCUGCAACAACUGAAGGGGUUUUGGUUUAUCCGGUGGAUGAUAAUUUCAUAUUUGAUCCCACGGAUCUCGAUAUUGAUGUUACACCCGAGGCAAUUGAAGCAGCUCUUUGUUGAAAUCAACCAAGCAAUGUCGUUUAGAUCCGGCUUUUUUUCGGUGCGAUGAGAUAACUACGAGUCGGAAGGUUGGAGAAGAAGACAAGGACGGAUGCUCGCAUGUAAGAACCCCGCCGCAUUGCGGCGGGUACUAAUUCCUAGUUAUGAUAUAAUUAGAAAUGUUAAUGUUUUGGCCACUAAGUUAAGGUUAGCCUAUAUAAACAGUGUUAGGGUUUUACAUUAUAAUCAAAUUUUUGAAAAGUUUUCUUAGGAAUAAUCGUUCGAAGUUAGCCAAAUUAUUGUUUCUUGAUUCCUAUCUUAAAUGGAAGCCGUAAGUUUAACAAACCACAAGGACAAGUUAUGUAAUUUACUUUUAUCA
Molecule: long non-coding RNA, 1124 nt
Organism: Helianthus annuus (common sunflower)
Lineage: Eukaryota; Viridiplantae; Streptophyta; Magnoliopsida; Asterales; Asteraceae
Exons: 3
Source: RefSeq, a predicted model, not a curated record